CUGUCUUAGUGGCGGACGGGUGAGUAACGCGUGGGCAACCUGCCCUGUACCGGGGGAUAACACUUAGAAAUAGGUGCUAAUACCGCAUAAUAGGGAAUACCGCAUGGUAANCCUUUGAAAACUCCGGUGGUACAGGAUGGGCCCGCGUCUGAUUAGCCAGUUGGCGGGGUAACGGCCCACCAAAGCGACGAUCAGCAGCCGGCCUGAGAGGGUGGACGGCCACACUGGGACUGAGACACGGCCCAGACUCCUACGGGAGGCAGCAG
This 266-nucleotide ribosomal RNA is filed under the name uncultured bacterium. RNAcentral describes it as "partial 16S ribosomal RNA". It matches the Rfam family "Bacterial small subunit ribosomal RNA", at positions 87 to 354 of the family's 1533-position model. The record is from RNAcentral.